RNAcentral lists this transfer RNA (89 nucleotides) under Serratia marcescens. RNAcentral's name for it is "tRNA-Gln(ttg)". Lineage: Bacteria; Pseudomonadati; Pseudomonadota; Gammaproteobacteria; Enterobacterales; Yersiniaceae. The record is from RNAcentral.
GCUGCUGGCGGCGCGGGUGCUGGCCGCCUUUGGCGCGGCGGUCGGUUCGGUCGGGACGCAAACGGCGAUUCGCGAUCGCUUCGACGGUU